UACGUAGGGUGCAAGCGUUAAUCGGAAUUACUGGGCGUAAAGCGUGCGCAGGCGGUUAUGUAAGACAGGUGUGAAAUCCCCGGGCUUAACCUGGGAACUGCAUUUGUGACUGCAUAGCUAGAGUACGGUAGAGGGGGAUGGAAUUCCGCGUGUAGCAGUGAAAUGCGUAGAUAUGCAGAGGAACACCGAUGGCGAAGACAAUCCCCUGGACCUGUACUGACGCUCAUGCACGAAAGCGUGGGGAGCAAACAGG
RNAcentral lists this ribosomal RNA (253 nucleotides) under uncultured bacterium. RNAcentral describes it as "partial 16S ribosomal RNA". It matches the Rfam family "Bacterial small subunit ribosomal RNA", at positions 524 to 776 of the family's 1533-position model. The record is from RNAcentral.